Molecule: ribosomal RNA, 1118 nt
Filed under: Bacillus sp. (in: firmicutes)
Lineage: Bacteria; Bacillati; Bacillota; Bacilli; Caryophanales; Bacillaceae
Description: bacterial SSU rRNA
Rfam family: Bacterial small subunit ribosomal RNA
Source: RNAcentral
AAAAAUGGCGGCAGCUAAUACAUGCAAGUCGAGCGGACCGACGGGAGCUUGCUCCCUUAGGUUAGCGGCGGACGGGUGAGUAACACGUGGGUAACCUGCCUGUAAGACUGGGAUAACUCCGGGAAACCGGGGCUAAUACCGGAUGCUUGAUUGAACCGCAUGGUUCAAUUAUAAAAGGUGGCUUUUAGCUACCACUUACAGAUGGACCCGCGGCGCAUUAGCUAGUUGGUGAGGUAACGGCUCACCAAGGCAACGAUGCGUAGCCGACCUGAGAGGGUGAUCGGCCACACUGGGACUGAGACACGGCCCAGACUCCUACGGGAGGCAGCAGUAGGGAAUCUUCCGCAAUGGACGAAAGUCUGACGGAGCAACGCCGCGUGAGUGAUGAAGGUUUUCGGAUCGUAAAACUCUGUUGUUAGGGAAGAACAAGUACCGUUCGAAUAGGGCGGUACCUUGACGGUACCUAACCAGAAAGCCACGGCUAACUACGUGCCAGCAGCCGCGGUAAUACGUAGGUGGCAAGCGUUGUCCGGAAUUAUUGGGGCGUAAAGCGCGCGCAGGCGGUUUCUUAAGUCUGAUGUGAAAGCCCCCGGCUCACCCGGGGAGGGUCAUUGGAAACUGGGGAACUUGAGUGCAGAGAGGAGAGUGAAUUCCACGUGUAGCGGUGAAAUGCGUAGAGAUGUGAGGAACAGCAGUGGCGAAGCUACUCUCUGGUCUGUAACUGACGCUGAGGCGCGAAAGCGUGGGGAGCGAACAGGAUUAGAUACCCUGUAGUCCACGCCGUAAACGAUGAGUGCUAGUGUUGAGGGCUUCCGCCCUUUAUGCUGCAGCAACGCAUAUGCCACUCGCGCCUGGGGGAGUACGGUCGCAGGACUGAACUCAAGUAUGACGGGGCCCCGCCACAAGCGUGACCAUGUGUUUAAUCGAGCAGCGCGAGACUACAGUCUGACAUUCUCUGACACCUAGAGAUAGGCUCCGCCUCGGGGCGACUGACAGUGUGCAAGGAUUGUCUUCACCUCUGUCCUGGGAAGUUUAGGUAAUUCCCCACGAGCUAAGCUGAUCUUACUGCAGCAUUCAUUGGGAGCUAGGUACUGCAUUCAACGAGAAGUGGGGUAAAC